Chlorocebus sabaeus (green monkey) is the source of this 1965-nucleotide long non-coding RNA. RefSeq lists it as uncharacterized. NCBI's taxonomy places the organism in Eukaryota, Metazoa, Chordata, Mammalia, Primates, Cercopithecidae. The record is from RefSeq and is a predicted model, not a curated record.
UCAAGCCUGCUCUCACUCUGUGUACUUUUGCUUCAAUAAAUCUGUGCUUUCAUUGUUUUGGGGUUUUUUGUUGCUUUAUUUGUAUGUUUUGUUUGAUUCUUUGUUCAAUGCACCAAGAACCUGGACAACUCACAGUCAAGCAUUUCCAUCCCGUAACAGUUGGAGAAUGAGCCUGCGUGACAGGCCUUCCAUUUAGCAGGUGAAUCUCAGCUGCUACGUAAAUCGUCAAAGCCGGAACUUGGAAUGUGAAUAUAGCCAUGAGAGUGCCUCAGCAAGGAACCAUUAUGAGGUCUUGGUGUCUGGGAAUCUGCAUUGAUAACCCACACCGCAGGUGAUUCUGAUGGAGGUGGUUCCAGAACUAGAGUUUGAGAGUCACUGUCCUCUAGCAACCUCUGGAUUAAACACGGGAGAAAACAAAUAGACCUAAGUUGUUGACUGACCAAUGAACUUUCAAGGAUGAAGCCAGGAAUAACAAAACCAUGCCUUUGACCAUGGAAGGAGCUGAAAGGAUGGAGUCAAGGCCUUGAGGAGACAACAGAGAGGCAACCAAAAGAAGAUGGCAGGCAGCCAGAAGAAGGCACAUUCCUAGAUCUCUUCCAAAGUGCCUGAAAUGAUCCAACAGACCACAAUAGACACAAUCACUCACUCCAGGUGAAGCCGAAUUCCAUGUGAUGAGGCAGGUCUGGGAAGAGACCCAUGUGACAGGAACAGAGGCCUGUGGCCUGCCCAGAUCCACCCGAGUGACUUUGAAAGUGAAUCCUCUUAAGUUGUGUCCUCAAGCGAAAUUUCGCCACUGACGCCUGCAACUGCCUAACUGACCUUGAGCCAGAGGCACCCAGCCAAGCUGCUCCCAAGGUUUCGGACCCACAGAAAUAGUGAGAUCAUAAAUGUUUGUAUUUUACACCAUUACAUUUUGGGGUAAUUUGCUACAAAGCAGCAGUUAACUACUACACAAUCAAAAUGGAAUGAUCAUCUAUGGGUCUGCAUGAGUUUGCCUCUCUCUACUGAGUGGGGCAGAUGGCCAUAGUAUCCAGGAAAAUACUCUUCCUUGGAUAAAAUAGACAUCUCAAGGCCUUUUCACACUGGGUCAUAAAUGUACAUUUAGUGGAUCAUUUCCAUUACUAAAAUGUAAGAUCCACAAGAAAACUUGCAUACUUGUAAUAAUUAGUAUACUGUGAGCCCGUGCCCAGCAUAUAGUUAAGCAUUGUACGUUCACCGACUUCCUUUAUCUUUCUAACAAUUCUAUGAUUAAAGUAUUAUUAUAAUCGUCAUUUUUGUAGAUGUGAAACUGAGGCGGAUAAGAAUUAAGUUGCCCAAAGUGGUGUUACAUGUAAAUGGAGGAGGCAGGAUUUGAACCCAGGCAGUUUGGCUUCAGAGUUCUUAGUAAAUAUGUGGGUUGGAGUAAAUGAGGGAGUAAAACUGUUGGAUGACUUCUGAUUAUUGCCUUGGGGGAUGGGUACCUCUCUGUCCUUCAUUUCUUUAUUGGUGUUUUUAUAACCCCUUGCAUGGUAUUUGUUGUCGACAUCUAAAAUAUAUUCCAAAAGCAACCUGUUCUUUUUUUCACCUCGCUGUUUUCUUUGCUAAGACCUUCACAGGAGGCUGGGGCUUUCUCUCUCUGUUGGGAUCUUUUAUAUUUUAAGACAUUCUCUUCGCCAAGCAUGUUGACAUGUGAGUUGCAAGCUAAGCCUCUGAGAAGCAAAAUGUUGAACAAUUAUCAGUUGAAGACAUCAUGUCACAAGGAACUUCUCUUUAAACAAAUCAAAAAGUCCCAUAGCAAACUCCUUUUGUCUGAGGAUCUCCAGGGACCCCUCUGACACUGGACCAUCCCGCCGAGACAUUUCAAACACAGACUCUCACCAUUUAGUCCGGUUGCUGGGGCCCCAGACUUCUUUAGAAUAGAUAAUGCGGCUUCAUUAUGGUUCUAUGUGAAUGUGCCUGGAAAAGGAUCAUUGCAUUUCCUUUAAA